Molecule: ribosomal RNA, 292 nt
Filed under: uncultured Planctomycetota bacterium
Lineage: Bacteria; Pseudomonadati; Planctomycetota
Description: uncultured planctomycete partial 16S ribosomal RNA
Source: RNAcentral
GGACUACCAGGGUAUCUAAUCCCGUUCGCUCCCCUAGCUUUCGCGCCUCAGCGUCAGAAGAGGUCCAGCACGUCGCUUUCGCCACCGGCGUUCCUUCCGAUAUCAACGCAUUUCACCGCUCCACCGGAAGUUCCACAUGCCCCUACCUCGCUCUAGACAACCAGUAUCAAAGGCUAUUUUCCGGUUAAGCCGAAAGAUUUCACCCCUGACUUGGCCGCCCGCCUACGCGCCCUUUAAGCCCAGUGAUUCCGAACAACGUUUGCACGGUUCGUCUUACCGCGGCGGCUGGCAC